RNAcentral lists this non-coding RNA (29 nucleotides) under Mus musculus (house mouse). The record is from RNAcentral. Lineage: Eukaryota; Metazoa; Chordata; Mammalia; Rodentia; Muridae.
UAGAAGCUGAUGGAAAUGUGAGGCUGUGU